This 497-nucleotide ribosomal RNA is filed under the name uncultured bacterium. Its description in RNAcentral is "partial 16S ribosomal RNA". It matches the Rfam family "Bacterial small subunit ribosomal RNA", at positions 28 to 507 of the family's 1533-position model. The record is from RNAcentral.
GAUGAACGCUGGCGGCGUGCCUAAUACAUGCAAGUCGAGCGAACAGACGAGGAGCUUGCUCCUCUGACGUUAGCGGCGGACGGGUGAGUAACACGUGGAUAACCUACCUAUAAGACUGGGAUAACUUCGGGAAACCGGAGCUAAUACCGGAUAACAUGUUGAACCGCAUGGUUCAACAGUGAAAGACGGUUUUGCUGUCACUUAUAGAUGGAUCCGCGUCGCAUUAGCUAGUUGGUAAGGUAACGGCUUACCAAGGCAACGAUGCGUAGCCGACCUGAGAGGGUGAUCGGCCACACUGGAACUGAGACACGGUCCAGACUCCUACGGGAGGCAGCAGUAGGGAAUAUUCCGCAAUGGGCGAAAGCCUGACGGAGCAACGCCGCGUGAGUGAAGAAGGUCUUCGGAUCGUAAAACUCUGUUAUUAGGGAAGAACAAAUGUGUAAGUAACUAUGCACGUCUUGACGGUACCUAAUCAGAAAGACACGGCUAACUACGUG